AUGUUGGAACAAUUUCUGGAUAUAUGCCCAGGAGAGGUAUCCAGAAUCCAGGAUGCAACAAGUGCCCUUGUGACAGGUCAGUCUUAUGAGAAUAUGGUAACUGAGAUCAUGUCAAUGGGCUAUGAACGAGAACAAGUAAUUGCAGCCCUGAGAGCCAGUUUCAACAACCCCGACAGAGCUGUGGAAUAUCUUCUAAUGGGAAUCCCUGGAGAUAGAGAAAGUCAGGCUGUGGUUGACCCUCCUCCUCAGGCUGUGAGUACUGGAACUCCUCAGUCUCCAGCAGUAGCUGCAGCUGCAGCAACCACGACAGCAACUACAACCACCACUUCUGGAGGCCACCCCCUUGAAUUUUUAUGGAAUCAGCCUCAGUUUCAACAGAUGAGACAAAUUAUCCAGCAGAAUCCUUCUUUGCUGCCAGCCUUGCUACAGCAGAUAGGUCGGGAGAACCCUCAGCUGCUGCAGCAAAUUAUCCAACACCAGGAGCAUUUUAUUCAGAUGCUGAAUGAACCCGUUCAGGAAGCAGGUGGUCAAGGUGGAGGAGGAGGUGGUGGAGGAGCCGGUGGAGGUGGAGGCGGCGGAGGAAUUGCAGAAGCUGGAAGUGGGCACAUGAAUUACAUUCAAGUAACACCUCAGGAGAAAGAAGCUAUAGAACUAGAAUGGUUAAAGGCAUUAGGAUUUCCCGAAGGACUUGUGAUUCAAGCAUAUUUUGCUUGUGAGAAGAAUGAGAAUCUGGCUGCCAACUUCCUUCUACAGCAGAACUUUGAUGAAGACUGAAGGGACUCUUUUGUACCUCACAUUCACACCAGUGCAUUACACUAACCUUGUUCACUGGAUUGUCUGGGGUGACUUGGGCUCAUAUCCACAAUAUUUGGUAUACGGUAGUAGGUUGGUGGGGGUGGGGAGCUAGGAUAUAGGGCAGGGAAACAUACAGUUGCAUGUCUGCUUCAAUUAGCAGAUGCUGCAGAUCCACACAGUGUAAAAUACUAUACAACCAAACAUCCGCCUUUACAGGUCAUUAUUCUUCUAAGCAGUAGGUAACUUUUCCUGGGUUUCAUUUUUCUAGUGUACUAGAUCCAGAAAUUUAGUGUGAUGCCCUGCUUUCUCUUUUCUUUGACUUAACAUUGGUUUCUGAAAGAAUCUUUGCUACCUAGAACCUGCAGUCUGUUUUAUGGCAACACUGGAUAAUGGCUUUUUGAAAUUGAGGGGAAAAAUUGGAGCAUCUGUAAACAGAAAUGCCAAAUUAUUGAUAGUCAUCGUUGCUGCUUCACAUUAGUAUGAGACUGAUGCAGAGGAAGCCCAUUCUUCGUGUUCAGUGCUGGGGAUGGGGUUGGGAGGGUAGAAAGGGCGCUUUUUCUUAAAACGAAAAUAAUUACUGCUAUUUUAAAAUUUCCUGAUUAUUGAAUGUGAGGCCCUCUAACAAUGAUUUGAGAAGCUGUACACAUAGGCAGAGUUAUUUUCCUGUUUACAUUGUUUGUUUGUUUGGGGGAAAUUGGUAGGUGUCUACUGUUCACUUCAUUGUUGUAUUGCAGUAAAAGAUUUAAAACAAAA
Mus caroli (Ryukyu mouse) is the source of this 1548-nucleotide non-coding RNA. NCBI's taxonomy places the organism in Eukaryota, Metazoa, Chordata, Mammalia, Rodentia, Muridae. The record is from RefSeq and is a predicted model, not a curated record.